Molecule: long non-coding RNA, 1435 nt
Filed under: Ananas comosus (pineapple)
Lineage: Eukaryota; Viridiplantae; Streptophyta; Magnoliopsida; Poales; Bromeliaceae
Description: long non-coding RNA (ACOM_LNC016893)
Source: RNAcentral
CUACUUAGCAUAAUUAGCAUAAGUAUGAAGCAACUCUGCAUGAAGUAAAAGUCUCCAACUAUCAUAAUGUUCACAAUGAGAAAUAGUAAAGUUCCGUUGUUUACUAUUCUAGUCAAUGUCCAAGUAGUACACUAAGUCAUCAUCUGUCCACAUGUCAUAAUGAAUACUCAAAGUCAAAUCUGAAGAGACCCACCCGAAGGCUGUCUAUGGCCCUGAGACCCACCCGUAGGCUGUCUGGCCGGUGCCGAGCUUAAUGGCCCCUUGGUAGUCAUCAUCCCCACCCUAAGAAUGAGCCUGUCCCACGGCAAUCCACUUCGGCGCCCAAUCCUAUACGGCGAAUAUGAAUCGCGAUGGCUAUCUCCGAAGUGCCGGCUUGUAUGGAGCGACCCUCACAAGCAUGUGCGAAUGAGUACAAUGGGAAGUAGGCAAAUGAUCUGUCGCAAGUACCAAGUCCUCAUGUCUAAUAACAUGGAAUGUGUCAAGUAUCUCAACGGCCUAUCCCUAUGUCAUCAUGUCUCUAACAUGGAAUGUAGCGGAUAAGUAGUGGCCUAUCAAUAUGUCUCUAUGUUGCAGUUUCAUAGUUUACUAGUUUCAAGUGCCCCUUGAUGACACUCUUGUUCUCUAUGCCAGAGCAUGGCAACUAUGUUCCAAAGUACAUAUUCCAAGUCAUAAUCCUCAUAAGUGAUGUAUUUUCCACUUGCAAAUAAACACUUUUCCCAUAUGCAUGCAUUCUACUCAUAUAGCUCUACUAUAUAGUGAAAUUUUCAUAAUACACAAGGCAUGCAUUUUAAGUGCUCUAAAAUUCAUAUAAAUUCCAUUUAGCAUAGAAAUGAAUUUAAAAAUAUUUUACAACAAAUAGAAAGAGCAUAGGGUCCAUUUCGCCCCAUUUCCACGAAGCCAAACCCACCGUCGUCAACGAAAGCUUUCGUUUGCCACGACGAAGGCGUCCACCACACUCCUAGUACCCUAAAGGUAUGAAAACAAGUGUCAUCUAGUCGAAACGAAUGACGCUAAGUUCAAUCAUUAACCAACUCAAGCUAGGGUUGGGAAAAACUCACCUCAAGUGAAAAACCCUCUCUUAAUCUUCAAAUGGAAGGUAGGGGUCUUCCAAUCUAACCUAUAUAAAGGUUCCAAACCCAUCAAAAAGGUUUCAAAGCCCUCAAAUCAAAAAGCCCCAAAUCUAACCCUAGAAUCCCAAUCUAGGGUUUCAUCUAGUAAAACCUAGAAAAACAUAUAUCAAGUAGGGAUUACAUGCUACCAACCUCAAGAGGAGCUUCAAUCCAAGCUCAAAACCAAGUAGGGUUGAAGUUUGAUCCUCCACAAAGCUCCAACCGCAAGCUCGAAGCCACCAAGGUGAGAAAAUGGGGAAGAAGAUGAUGCUCCAAAGCCUCCAAGCAAGCUCCUUCUCCUCCUCUUCUUCUUCUUCUUCUUCUUC